GGACAAAGAAAGAUAACUCCAAUUUUCAAAGAAGAUUUCAUAAAGUAUUGGUUUUAGGUGAUUCAACAACCAUUCUGGACAAAGAAAGAUAACUCCAAUUUAUUGUCUUGAAACUACAAAAAUGCUUGUUUUUGGCCCCUCUUUUGCCCUUUAUUCCUAGACUGUUUGCUCCAUAACCCUUAAAAUAUAUCCCAACCUUCUACUUAUGGUAUUAAACAUUGUGGUACAAUUUCAGAACAAUUGAAAUACUUAUACACAACUUAUUGUCCUGACACUAGAUAAAUGCUUGUUUUGGGCCCCUAAUUCCUAAACCUUAGGGACUGUAACCCCCAAAAUCAAUCCCAAGCUUCCUUUUGUGGUUAUAAACAUUGUGUUAAAAUUUUAUUGAUUUCUAUUUACUUAUACUAAAGUUGUCCUGACACUAGAUAAAUGCUUGUUUUGGGCCCUAAUUCCUAAACCUUAGGGACCAUAACCCCCAAAAUCAAUCCCAAGCUUCCUUUUGUGGUUAUAAACAUUGUGUUAAAAUUUUAUUGAUUUCUAUUGACUUAUACUAACGUUAUUAUCCGGAAACAAUCCGUCUUCGGACGACG
This 590-nucleotide long non-coding RNA is filed under the name Mytilus galloprovincialis (Mediterranean mussel). The record is from RNAcentral. Lineage: Eukaryota; Metazoa; Mollusca; Bivalvia; Mytilida; Mytilidae.